CUGGUCAAUUGAACGAUUCAAACAAUAGAUAUGCAUGGCCAUGGAUACAUGAAUGGGUAUGCUUUGCAUUUGAGAGGGCAUAUUGAAAACGGUCAGUGACCUAUCCGCCCCGCAACGGUGCUAAUUGAAGAGUAAGCAAUCGGAUUAGGGAAUGACAAAUUGGUGGGAAAGAAGAGAGAAUGCCUAAUUCAAAAAUCCUUCAUUCCCUUUUCCUCUCACCAGUACUGUAAUCUCCGCUUAAUUGGUGUGAGCUGAUAAUGAUCCUGAAUCCUGAUCGGUCUGCAUCGACCUAGAUCGAUAUUGAUACCCAAUACUUGGAACCCUAGGAGGGUACUUGGAAGGGUGUUUGGGAAAGUAUCAAAACCUAAACCCAAGGGGAAAUGAAUUAUUUCAUUUUGUUUAGUAGCUCCAAGUUCAGGUUUACGUGAUUCCUACCUUCCUCAUUCAAGAAUCCACUCUCAUUUGCCGCUCUUUCCCAUCUCGGGACAUGAGCUACUCCCGCUGAAUUUUCUCCCACUACAUAUGAUGAGAGCACACUCACAGGGUGAUUCACCAGGGCAGGGCCUUUGCUUCUGCAACCAAAUGCGUGAGCGAUGUGUCUCUCCAAACCCCUUGUCCUCUUACUUUGCCCUCAAGUCAUUAACUCAGAUUUGCUCGUUUAGUGGAGGUGAACAAUCCAUGGGAGGAUAUGCGAGAUGGCACCAAUCCGAUUGUCUCCAACUCACUACUUUGAUGGGUUUCUAUGCAACUUGCGAAAAUGAUCGCGAGGCUUGUCAAAUGUUCAAUGAAAUGCCCAACCCAGAUACCAUUGCUUGGAACGUUUUGAUUUCCUGCUAUAAUUGUAAUGGUCGAACCUGAGAAGCUUUGUGCCUGUGCAGUGUCCUGCAAAGUCCCCCAUGUAUGGUCUGAAAACUGAUCAUGUCACUUGCCUUCUUCUCUUCCAGGCAUGUGCAAAACUUGGGUGCUUCAGAUUUUGGUGAGAAGAUUCAUGGUUACAUAGAUGAACAUGGCUAUGGAGAUGCUUUCAAUACUCGAAUUUACUUAUUGCAAUGUACUCAUGAUGCGGGUGAAUGGACAUGCCUUUUGAGUGUUUGAGGAAUGUUCGAGGGGAAUGGGGUUACCUUGAUUGCAACAAUAUCGGGGAUGCCAAUGAGUGGUCAUGAAAGACAAGCCAUCUUAGCAUUUGAGGAGAUGAAAAUAAUGGAAGUUCUCCAUUAUGUAAAGACUCUUGUAGGGGCUCGUUCUGCUUAUAGUAGUAUGGUGGUUUGGUUGAUGAAGGUAGACCACAGCGGAUUCCACCAUUUCCAAGAAGGAUACUGCUCCUGUGGGGAUUAUUGGUAGUGGUCCACCAUUUGGGGGUGGGGAGGGGAGAGAUUAUUAUCAUUCUAUUAUUCAGUUUAUCAUUCAUGAUUGUAGAUUACAGUGGAUCUCCAUCUUUACAAGAAGUGUACAGUGGUUGGUAUGCUUAAGCUGAGAUCAGCUCACGGACAGAAUUUUUAUUGAUGUUAUCCAAAGGAGUGUCAGUGAACUCUGAUAAGAUUGCUCUGAACUCAUCUCCUGUGAGGGUUUCCUUCUCUAACAGAACUUCGACUAGCUUAUCAAUUGCCUCCCGAUUAUUCCUAAUGUGGGUCUUUGCAAUUUCGUAAGCACUGUCAAUUAUUGUUCUUACUGAUGUAUCGAUAUCUUCUGCAAGUUUUUCUGACAUGGCAUUUCUUGCUAGCAUUCUCAGUACUACAUCACUGCUUUGUACCGCGGAUCCGUCAAUGCCCAUGGCCCAAUUUCAGACAUUCCAAACAUGGUUACCAUCUGGCAGGAGAAGACAUGUAUCAGAUCUCCAGCUGCACCAGUUGUAAUCUCUGGUUCGCCAAAAAUUACUUCCUCUGCUGCCCGUCCUCCAAGACCUCCUACUAUUCUAGCAAAGAGUUGCUGCUUUGAGACGAGAGCUGGAUCUUCACCAGGUAUGAACCAAGUAAGCCCACGGGCUUGCCCCCUAGGUAUCAGAGUAACUUUCUGUACUAGGUCAUGCCCUGGAAUUAAAGUCCUGUUUAUGGCAGAUAAAUAGGAACAUUCUUAGCAAUGUGGUUACAGAAUUACCAUAUUCAACUGCCAUAGUGCCAUUUUUGUUGGACUAUUCAAGGUAUUCUCACUUUGCUGCAUACUUGUCAUUCAAAUUUCUAUAACAAUCUGAUUGAAUUAUUAUUAUUGUC
Long non-coding RNA from Macadamia integrifolia, 2207 nucleotides. RefSeq lists it as uncharacterized. The transcript has 3 exons. NCBI's taxonomy places the organism in Eukaryota, Viridiplantae, Streptophyta, Magnoliopsida, Proteales, Proteaceae. The record is from RefSeq and is a predicted model, not a curated record.